This 204-nucleotide long non-coding RNA is filed under the name Fukomys damarensis (Damara mole-rat). RNAcentral describes it as "lncRNA (ENSFDAG00000023166.1)". The record is from RNAcentral. Lineage: Eukaryota; Metazoa; Chordata; Mammalia; Rodentia; Bathyergidae.
GUUUUGGAUUAGGAAGAAGCUCGUAUAUGACUACCAGGAUUCAUCUGCCUGUUGCAACGACUUAUGCAACAUGCCUUUCAAAACCAGUGUGCUUGUUCUCAUUUUAUUUCCCACUUGAUUGAAAAGUCAACAUUCGUGAAAACAGAUAAGAAAGCAUGAGAAGCGGACAUUUUUUAAAACAUGAAAACAGAAGAAUGGUUUGAC